CCUACGUGAGGCAGCAGUGAGGAAUAUUGGUCAAUGGGCGCGAGCCUGAACCAGCCAAGUAGCGUGAAGGAUGACUGCCCUACGGGUUGUAAACUUCUUUUAUAAAGGACUAAAGUGAGGCACGUGUGCCUUUUUGUCUGUACUUUAUGAAUAAGGAUCGGCUAACUCCGUGCCAGCAGCCGCGGUAAUACGGAGGAUCCGAGCGUUAUCCGGAUUUAUUGGGUUUAAAGGGAGCGUAGAUGGGUUGUUAAGUCAGUUGUGAAAGUUUGCGGCUCAACCGUAAAAUUGCAAUUGAUACUGGCAGCCUGGAGGACAGAUGAGGUAGGAGGAAUUCGUGGUGUAGCGGUGAAAUGCUUAGAUAUCACGAAGAACUCCGAUUGCGAAGGCAGCUUACGAAACUGCCACUGACAUUGAUGCUCGAAAGUGUGGGUAUCAAACAGGAUUAGAUACCCCAGUAGUC
This 460-nucleotide ribosomal RNA is filed under the name uncultured bacterium. RNAcentral's name for it is "partial 16S ribosomal RNA". It matches the Rfam family "Bacterial small subunit ribosomal RNA", at positions 338 to 795 of the family's 1533-position model. The record is from RNAcentral.